GCUCCAAAUCAGUUUUAAGUUAACAUGCAAAGAGAAUUUUGGCUACUUUUUGUUUGGAGUCAAAUAUAAAACUAAACAACAUGUGCCCAGAUUUCCUACCAUGGAUUUGCAAAAGAUAUUUUGAAACCUUUUUUGGCAAAAAUCAUAUUCCGUUAUGAAUCAGUGUUGCACUGUAAACAGAGUGUUUAGAAAUUUGGGUUUGAGAAGUGUAACGGCUAGUUUCCUUAAAAAAAAAAAAAGAUUCAAAUGCUUGGUUUGCAGCUGGAGCUUUUUGUAAAUUAAUCAAAUUGAGUGCAGUGGGAGGGGUGAUUCAUUAAGUAGAGAGCUAGUGAAGACAUAUCCUGUGAAAGGCAGUGGGCUAAGUGGUAGGGGGAGAAGGAAGAUACAGAGUGCUUUCAAAAGUGCCUAAAUGUAAGUCAACAGGGCAGUGUGCCAAUUACAAUGUUAUAAUGUUCUACAGAAGAGGGAUGUACACCAAGAAUGCCAGCCUGGACCUCUGGUGUGUCUUGGAAGACUUAACCAGGAAGGGGACGAUUCGUUUCUAUUUGACCCAAGACUGAUGCUGCAUGGUGAAGGAGAGGAACUGCGUUCCAGGCAGAGGAAGUCCAGAUGCGCAAGAGCAGAGAUGGGAGGGACAGCACAGUGGCUUCUCAGAAUUGAAUAUGGUGUUAGACUUCUAAAAGAGCUGUGGUAGAGGGAGAAAACUGUCAAAGGAAAUCAGUAACUGUUAAAGGAAAAUACCUUAAACGUCCUGUUUUCAGGCUGACUAAUGCCUUAGGGGAGCAAAUGAGCAACAGAAACGAUACGAGCAACUGCUGUUCUUUCAAAAUACCCAGGCAGAGGAACCGGCAGACGAUGGGCAGCAUCGAACAAACAACUGAGAUCCUGUUGUGCCUGUCACCUGUUGAAGUUGCCAGUCUUAAGGAAGGAAUCAAUUUCUUUCGCAAUAAGAGCACUGGCAAAGACUACAUCUUGUACAAGAAUAAGAGCCGACUGAGGGCAUGCAAGAAUAUGUGCAAGCACCAAGGAGGCCUGUUCAUAAAAGAUAUCGAGGAUUUAGCCGGAAGGUCUGUUAGAUGCACAAAGCACAACUGGAAAUUAGAUGUGAGCACCAUGAAGUAUAUCAACCCUCCGGAAAGCUUCUGUCAAGAUGAGCUGGUUGUUGAAAUGGAUGAAAACAACAGAAUUUUACUUUUAGAACUGAAUCCUCCUAACCCUUGGGACUUACAGCCCAGAUCUCCUGAAGAGUUGGCUUUUGGAGAAGUCCAGAUAACAUAUCUCACUCAUGCCUGCAUGGACCUCAAGUUAGGAGACAAGAGAAUGGUGUUUGACCCUUGGUUAAUCGGUCCUGCUUUUGCCCGUGGAUGGUGGUUGCUCCAUGAGCCUCCAUCUGAUUGGCUGGAGAGGCUGUGCCAGGCAGACCUCAUUUACAUCAGUCAUCUGCACUCAGACCACCUGAGUUACCCCACACUGAAAAAGCUUGCUGGGAGAAGACCAGAUAUUCCCAUUUAUGUUGGAAACACAGAAAGGCCUGUAUUUUGGAAUCUGAAUCAGAGCGGUGUCCAGUUGACUAAUAUCAAUGUCGUGCCAUUUGGAAUAUGGCAGCAGGUGGACAAAAAUCUUCGAUUCAUGAUCUUGAUGGACGGUGUUCAUCCUGAGAUGGACACUUGCAUUAUUGUGGAGUACAAAGGUCAUAAAAUACUCAAUACAGUAGACUGCACCAGACCCAAUGGGGGAAGGCUGCCUAUGAAGGUUGCUCUAAUGAUGAGUGAUUUUGCUGGAGGAGCAUCAGGCUUUCCAAUGACUUUCAGUGGUGGAAAAUUUACGGAGGAAUGGAAAGCCCAAUUCAUUAAAACAGAAAGGAAGAAGCUCCUGAACUACAAGGCUCGGCUGGUGAAGAACCUGCAACCCCGAAUUUAUUGUCCCUUUGCUGGGUAUUUUGUGGAAUCUCACCCAUCAGACAAGUACAUCAAGGAAACAAACACCAAAAAUGACCCAAAUGAACUCAACAAUCUUAUCAAGAAAAACUCUGAUGUGAUAACAUGGACCCCUCGACCGGGAGCCACCCUUGAUCUGGGAAGAAUGCUGAAGGAUCCAACAGACAGCAAGGGCAUCAUAGAGCCUCCAGAGGGGACAAAAAUUUACAAGGAUUCCUGGGAUUUUGAACCUUAUUUGGAAAUCUUGAAUGCUGCUGUAGGAGAUGAAAUAUUUCUUCACUCAUCCUGGAUAAAAGAAUACUUCACUUGGGCUGGAUUUAAAGAUUACAACCUUGUGGUCAGGAUGAUUGAGACAGAUGAGGACUUCAAUCCUUUUCCUGGAGGAUAUGACUAUUUGGUUGACUUUUUAGAUUUAUCCUUCCCAAAAGAAAGACCACAACGAGAACAUCCCUAUGAGGAAAUCCAUAGCCGGGUGGAUGUCAUCAGACACGUGGUGAAGAAUGGUCUACUCUGGGACGAGUUGUAUAUAGGAUUCCAAACACGGCUCCAGCGGGAUCCUGACAUAUACCAUCACCUCUUAAGAAUCGGAAGCUGUGUAAAAUAAAAAGGAAGUAACCCCACCAAGCACCUCUCAUGAAACCCUGUUUCCUGCCCUUCCCUCCACCCACUCUUAUGGUUUUGGAAUCAUUUUCAAAUAAAACUCCCCCUCACGCCACCCAACUGGAAGUCAUUCCUGAUGUGCUGUGAGCAGAAUGGGCCUGGGAUUUUGCAAGAAUGCAAAACCACAUGAAAAUUUCAAGAAUUCACUGAUCUGAUGCAAAAUAAAAAUUUAUCAUUACAGCUUGAACCCAGGAAGCUUACAGCAAAGAGACUAUGCUUUAUGACAUCAGCAAUAGAUAAUUCCACGUUGCCUUUGUGAUUUGUAUAUAUAGCUUACAUUUGUGGAUCACUACAUAGCCAGAUUCAAAAAUAUUUUACUUGUUCCAUCCACAGUUCUCUACAGAAAGAACCAAUGAACCCAAUAGGAACAAAUUCUCUGUGGAAAACAAAGCAUAACUGUAGUAGAUACGAAUCCAAUCACAGAGGAAACAGGAAGAGAAAAACAUCCAAGACUACAGUGAAAACUGGAAAUGGUCUGUUUUCGUGAUAUUCGUAUGAUUAAGAUGCAAAUUUUUUCUUAGGAAAAUGUGAUUGUUAACUAGGAUUCUGUUUUAGAUGUUGACAUUUCUAACACACACACCACUGAUUUGAACUUCAAAAUUUAUUUUCUGAUUAUAUAUGCUAGGUCUGAUUCUGAAGAUACAAGAAUUCAAUGGUGGAAUUUGUCUCCUGAAAUUUCUAGAUUCAUAAUUAGAAGUGUUUAUUACCAACUUCUCGCUUAGAUUAACAUCAAUGAUGUUUGAUUAUUCUGGUUAACUGCUCACAUGCAUAACAAUAAUGCUAGAAAUUCAGGAAUUAUAAUUUUGUGAUUUAUACUGUGUGGUAAAUGAUUCAGUUCUCACUGCAAAUAAAUAUAAUGUAUAUCAAUGUAAUGUAGGUCAGAAUGUCUAUGGUGAGCAAAUAAAAGAUUAUUUUAAAAUAUGAA
Molecule: RNA transcript, 3522 nt
Organism: Pan troglodytes (chimpanzee)
Lineage: Eukaryota; Metazoa; Chordata; Mammalia; Primates; Hominidae
Gene: CMAH
Gene name: cytidine monophospho-N-acetylneuraminic acid hydroxylase
Exons: 16
Source: RefSeq, marked provisional